GCUGAUUGCACUUUCUGUUUUAGUCUUGGUGUGACUGUUUUUGUCGAAACACCUGGAUUUUGUGGAGGCAUUUUAGACAAAAAUAGUCACACCAAGACCAAAACAGAAAGUGCAAUCGGC
This 120-nucleotide microRNA precursor is filed under the name Xyrichtys novacula (pearly razorfish). The record is from RNAcentral. Lineage: Eukaryota; Metazoa; Chordata; Actinopteri; Labriformes; Labridae.